UAUGAUUAAGAGAAUUCAAACAAAAAUGUCUUCCCAAGGGAGUAUUCCCAUAAAUUCAAACUCAACAACAAAUUCUGAUUUUGAUCCCAAUUUUUCUUAUUUUCUUAUUUUUCAACAUCCACACAACCAUGAGCUCUCUUUUUGUUUUUUUUCUUUCUUUUCUUUUUCUUUGCUCCAUAAUUUCAAAGGUGACUUAUUUUUCUUGUUUCUUUUCAC
RNAcentral lists this long non-coding RNA (216 nucleotides) under Lathyrus oleraceus (garden pea). RNAcentral's name for it is "Pisum sativum (pea) long non-coding RNA (PSAT_LNC013766)". Lineage: Eukaryota; Viridiplantae; Streptophyta; Magnoliopsida; Fabales; Fabaceae. The record is from RNAcentral.